Molecule: ribosomal RNA, 99 nt
Filed under: uncultured bacterium
Lineage: Bacteria
Description: partial 16S ribosomal RNA
Rfam family: Bacterial small subunit ribosomal RNA
Source: RNAcentral
UACACACCGCCCGUCACACCACGAAAGUUAGUUGCUCUUGAAGUCGCCGAGCUAACCGAAAGGAAGCAGGUGCCGACGGAGUGGCUAGCGAUUGGGGUG